Molecule: small nucleolar RNA, 130 nt
Filed under: Aotus nancymaae (Ma's night monkey)
Lineage: Eukaryota; Metazoa; Chordata; Mammalia; Primates; Aotidae
Description: Small nucleolar RNA SNORA61 (ENSANAG00000011371.1)
Rfam family: Small nucleolar RNA SNORA61
About the family: ACA61 is a member of the H/ACA class of snoRNA that guide the sites of modification of uridines to pseudouridines.
Source: Rfam by way of RNAcentral
GUCCUCCUAUACCCUUUCCCAUCAGAUCUGAACGUUGGUCUUGGUGGUCGUAAAAGGAGGAAAACUAAUACUGAAGCUGGCCUCAAUGUUGCAAUCUGGUAUAUAGCACGUGGGCUAGUUUCAGACAGGU